This 1425-nucleotide ribosomal RNA is filed under the name Vibrio parahaemolyticus. Its description in RNAcentral is "bacterial SSU rRNA". It matches the Rfam family "Bacterial small subunit ribosomal RNA". Lineage: Bacteria; Pseudomonadati; Pseudomonadota; Gammaproteobacteria; Vibrionales; Vibrionaceae. The record is from RNAcentral.
UGCAAGUCGAGCGGAAACGAGUUAUCUGAACCUUCGGGGAACGAUAACGGCGUCGAGCGGCGGACGGGUGAGUAAUGCCUAGGAAAUUGCCCUGAUGUGGGGGAUAACCAUUGGAAACGAUGGCUAAUACCGCAUGAUGCCUACGGGCCAAAGAGGGGGACCUUCGGGCCUCUCGCGUCAGGAUAUGCCUAGGUGGGAUUAGCUAGUUGGUGAGGUAAGGGCUCACCAAGGCGACGAUCCCUAGCUGGUCUGAGAGGAUGAUCAGCCACACUGGAACUGAGACACGGUCCAGACUCCUACGGGAGGCAGCAGUGGGGAAUAUUGCACAAUGGGCGCAAGCCUGAUGCAGCCAUGCCGCGUGUGUGAAGAAGGCCUUCGGGUUGUAAAGCACUUUCAGUCGUGAGGAAGGUAGUGUAGUUAAUAGCUGCAUUAUUUGACGUUAGCGACAGAAGAAGCACCGGCUAACUCCGUGCCAGCAGCCGCGGUAAUACGGAGGGUGCGAGCGUUAAUCGGAAUUACUGGGCGUAAAGCGCAUGCAGGUGGUUUGUUAAGUCAGAUGUGAAAGCCCGGGGCUCAACCUCGGAAUUGCAUUUGAAACUGGCAGACUAGAGUACUGUAGAGGGGGGUAGAAUUUCAGGUGUAGCGGUGAAAUGCGUAGAGAUCUGAAGGAAUACCGGUGGCGAAGGCGGCCCCCUGGACAGAUACUGACACUCAGAUGCGAAAGCGUGGGGAGCAAACAGGAUUAGAUACCCUGGUAGUCCACGCCGUAAACGAUGUCUACUUGGAGGUUGUGGCCUUGAGCCGUGGCUUUCGGAGCUAACGCGUUAAGUAGACCGCCUGGGGAGUACGGUCGCAAGAUUAAAACUCAAAUGAAUUGACGGGGGCCCGCACAAGCGGUGGAGCAUGUGGUUUAAUUCGAUGCAACGCGAAGAACCUUACCUACUCUUGACAUCCAGAGAACUUUCCAGAGAUGGAUUGGUGCCUUCGGGAACUCUGAGACAGGUGCUGCAUGGCUGUCGUCAGCUCGUGUUGUGAAAUGUUGGGUUAAGUCCCGCAACGAGCGCAACCCUUAUCCUUGUUUGCCAGCGAGUAAUGUCGGGAACUCCAGGGAGACUGCCGGUGAUAAACCGGAGGAAGGUGGGGACGACGUCAAGUCAUCAUGGCCCUUACGAGUAGGGCUACACACGUGCUACAAUGGCGCAUACAGAGGGCGGCCAACUUGCGAAAGUGAGCGAAUCCCAAAAAGUGCGUCGUAGUCCGGAUUGGAGUCUGCAACUCGACUCCAUGAAGUCGGAAUCGCUAGUAAUCGUGGAUCAGAAUGCCACGGUGAAUACGUUCCCGGGCCUUGUACACACCGCCCGUCACACCAUGGGAGUGGGCUGCAAAAGAAGUAGGUAGUUUAACCUUCGGGGGGACGCUUACCAC